Molecule: non-coding RNA, 345 nt
Organism: Habropoda laboriosa
Lineage: Eukaryota; Metazoa; Arthropoda; Insecta; Hymenoptera; Apidae
Source: Rfam
AUACACUAUUCUCAAACCAUCUUCCAGACUAGCUCGUCGUCUCCGAUUAUCCCUAUAUAAGGUUUGCCUGAGAACCGUACUAAUAUACGGAGUCCAUGUGUGGAUAAACACUAAAGUCGGGAUAACCCAAAAUGACCUGGAGACACCGUCGGGAAAUCCGAGGAGAAUAUUCUUUUCUGUAUAAGCGUUCGAGUUCCCUGGAAACUUCUAGCAAGGAGAUAGGGUUUGGAAAGCAAAGAGCACCGCAGUUGCGGUGGUGUCCGGAUAUUCCCCUCAGACCAUGAAAAUUCAGGAGAGGGCCACAUGGAGGUGUCGCACCGGUUCGUACACAUAUCCGCAGCAGGU